This 253-nucleotide ribosomal RNA is filed under the name uncultured bacterium. RNAcentral describes it as "partial 16S ribosomal RNA". It matches the Rfam family "Bacterial small subunit ribosomal RNA", at positions 524 to 776 of the family's 1533-position model. The record is from RNAcentral.
GACAGAGGUCCCGAGCGUUAGGCGGAAUCACUGGGCUUAAAGCGUGUGUAGGCGGACUUCUAAGUACCUUGUGAAAUCCCGCGGCUUAACCGUGGAACGGCUGGGUAUACUGGUUGUCUUGGGCCACUUAGGGGCUACUGGAACAAACGGUGGAGCGGUGAAAUGCGUAGAUAUCGUUUGGAACGCCAAUGGUGAAAACAAGUAGCUGGGAGUGUGCCGACGCUGAGACACGAAAGCCAGGGGAGCGAACGGG